AUUGAACGCUGGCGGCAGGCCUAACACAUGCAAGUCGAGCGGAUGAAGGGAGCUUGCUCCUGGAAUCAGCGGCGGACGGGUGAGUAAUGCCUAGGAAUCUGCCUGGUAGUGGGGGAUAACGUCCGGAAACGGGCGCUAAUACCGCAUACGUCCUGAGGGAGAAAGUGGGGGAUCUUCGGACCUCACGCUAUCAGAUGAGCCUAGGUCGGAUUAGCUAGUUGGUGGGGUAAAGGCCUACCAAGGCGACGAUCCGUAACUGGUCUGAGAGGAUGAUCAGUCACACUGGAACUGAGACACGGUCCAGACUCCUACGGGAGGCAGCAGUGGGGAAUAUUGGACAAUGGGCGAAAGCCUUAUCCAGCCAUGCCGCGUGUGUGAAGAAGGUCUUCGGAUUGUAAAGCACUUUAAGUUGGGAGGAAGGGCAGUAAGUUAAUACCUUGCUGUUUUGACGUUACCAACAGAAUAAGCACCGGCUAACUUCGUG
This 484-nucleotide ribosomal RNA is filed under the name uncultured bacterium. RNAcentral's name for it is "partial 16S ribosomal RNA". It matches the Rfam family "Bacterial small subunit ribosomal RNA", at positions 30 to 507 of the family's 1533-position model. The record is from RNAcentral.